This 481-nucleotide ribosomal RNA is filed under the name uncultured bacterium. RNAcentral describes it as "partial 16S ribosomal RNA". It matches the Rfam family "Bacterial small subunit ribosomal RNA", at positions 28 to 507 of the family's 1533-position model. The record is from RNAcentral.
GACGAACGUUGGCGGCGUGCUUAAUACAUGCAAGUCAACUGAAGCAGUGGUAGCAAUAUCGCUGUGGAGGUGGCGCACGGGUGAGUAACACGUAGGUAAUCUGCCUUCAGGUCUGGCAUAACUCCGGGAAACCGGGGCUAAUAGCAGAUGAUGCAGCGGCUCGACAUCGAGACAGUUGUUAAAGCUAUGGCGCCUGAAGAUGAGCCUGCGUCUGAUUAGCUAGUUGUCGGGGUAACGGCCCACCAAGGCAACGAUCAGUAGCUGGUCUGAGAGGAUGAUCAGCCACACUGGAACUGAGACACGGUCCAGACUCCUACGGGAGGCAGCAGUAAGGAAUAUUGCUCAAUGGGAGAAAUACUGAAGCAGCAACGCCGCGUGAGGGACGAAGGGCUUUUGCUUGUAAACCUCUGUAGUGAGAGAAAAAAAUCCCAAUCUUUGGGACAUGAUGGUAUCUAAAAAGUAAGCCCCGGCUAACUACGUG